This 755-nucleotide non-coding RNA is filed under the name Sunius melanocephalus. Lineage: Eukaryota; Metazoa; Arthropoda; Insecta; Coleoptera; Staphylinidae. The record is from RNAcentral.
AUAAAGUUUUAAUUUAGUUUAAAAGAUUAAUUUAUAGGUUUUUUAUAUGUAAAUUUUUGUAUAUUAUUUUAAAUAAUAUUUAAGCAGUAAUUAGAUUUAAAAAUUAAGGAAAUUUUGAUUUAGGAAUUUAUAAGAGUAUUAACAAAAUUUGUGCCAGCAGUUGCGGUUAUACAAAUAAUACAAUUAAUUUUUAUUAGUAAAUAGUAAAUUAUUUUUAUUUAAUUUUAAUAUUAAUUUUUUUGGGUAGAAUUUAAUAAUUAAUUUAAAUUAUAUAAAGAUUUAUGAGUUAUGAAAAUUAAUAAUAGACUAGGAUUAGAUACCCUAUUAUUAUAAUAGUAAAUAUAAUUACUUAAUUAGUAUGAGUUAUGAUCUUUAAAGUUAAAAAUUUUGGCGGUAUUUUAGUCUAUUUAGAGGAACCUGUUUAGUAAUUGAUAGUCCACAAUAUAUUUUACUUGUUUAAAUAAUUUGUAUAUCGUCGUAAAUAAAUAUUUUAUAAGAAGAUAAAUAUUUAAAAUUUAUAAUUUUAAAAUAAGUCAGAUCAAGGUGCAGUUUAUAAAUAAGGUGUAAUGGGUUACAAUGAAGAUAUUUUUGAAUAAUUAAUUGAAAAUUAAUUUGAAAUUGGAUUUAAUAGUAAUAAAAUUUAAUUUAGUUUUAUGAUUUUGGCUCUAAAAUAUGUACAUAUUGCCCGUCGCUUUCAUUUAAAAUGAGAUAAGUCGUAACAAAGUAGAUGUACUGGAAAGUGUAUCUAGGGAGAC